CGGGGCGACAGCUGGACCCGGCUGCCUGUCCUGCCUGAACUCAAGGCCCGUCGCCUCCUUUCAGGUGGACAGGAGGAGGCUGAUCCACCCGUUUCGGGGUGCAGGGACCUCGGGAUCUCGAAGACCCCCAGAAAAGCGCGGUGAGGCCGUGAAAGGAGGCGCUUGGGCGCCGGGCUGCAGGAAUGCCAGCGGGUCCCUGAAGGAAGAGCAGGGAGCGAGCCGGUGCGUCCUGGACCCUGCGGGACCCGGAGACCACGCAAACUCCGUAGAGACACGGAAGAAAGGAAAGAGCAAGGUGUAGCUGAUUAGCAAGUUAAUUAUUUCAGUACCCCAAGGGUUCCAGUGUGGUGGAGACAGUCCGUGGCACCGGGCUCUGGAGAGACGACUUCCUGACUUCAGCGGUGUGAAGAUGGUACAAUACUUUUUGGUGCUGACAUUCAGCUGUCCCCCAGGCAGGUUCGCUGAUAUCCCUGCUGGUGGAGAGGGGCUGGGGGCUGUCUGGAAAUAUAGCUCUGCUGACAGGGUGGCAGAGGAUUUGGGGUCCAAUCGCUGUUCAAAUUAGACUUGGCAGUCUUUACCUCGGAGGCCUCAGGAGUCUCAGGGGUCUCAGUAGGAGAGAAGUUACAGAAACUUAGAACACAGGAAGGCAGAUGUCGGGGGCUCCUUGUCUCAGUCCUUGUACUGCCAUGCUAAAGCAAAGCCCAGGGAUAGUAGAAAGAGAUCCCAGAGAGCAGGGCUGUGAGGUUCCAGGUGGGAUCUUGGCCCUGGCUCCUGGGAGAUUAAGAAUUCCUCUGCAAGUUUUGGAAAGUCCUACAAGAGCCAUUUAUUCAUAAUCUUUGGGCAGUAAAUGCGACCUCUUUUCACUGCUCAGUGGCUGGUAGGGGAGCAUUUCCAGCUUGUCUGGCCCUCAUUUGGGAGUCUAUCAUUUUCUUGCUCAUGUUCCAGUUUGGACUUAUAGAUGAAAACCCCAAACUUCCCAGCGCUUGUGUUUUUCUUUUCUCUCAGGCCAUUCAUAAUCUAGCCAACAUUGUAGGCCAUUGGCCCACACACAUUUUGAAAGGUGAGCCAGCAGGCCUGUUCCUGUGUGCAAGGUCGUUUUCAUCCGGGCUCAAGGGAGGAUAUAGUUUCCCCUUAAAGGAGAGAAGCAGGAAACGAUUUCUAUGAAUCUUUUAACGAAGGAUUUACUACUAAUUUGAUAAGUUCAAUGCUCUUUUUACUCAUUCUGAGUGAAUAACGUUGUCAGUCAACCCAAGCGGCUGCCGAACCUAUAAAAAUGUGUCCUUUGGUCUCCCUGUUUAACACAUGCAGGGGCUUGGCCCUGCCUCUGACAGACGGGAGGAGUAGAAACAUUCCAGAGAUCAGGUCUCAGAGUGUUAUCUCUUCCUCCAUCCCAAAUCCUCACCCUCCAUUUUAUCUUUCUUUGCUACAAAUGCAGAGACCUCCUAGGGAAGUGUGAAAGGAUGGGUUUUAAUCAGGUUUAGAGAAGGAAGGGGAAUAAGUUGAACCCAAAGAAAGAUGGGGACAGUUGGAAUUUUUUGAUGAUGCUUUGUUAUACCUCUCAUGUGUUGUAUAUUAUAUCCUACAAAUUAUGCAUUUAUUGCAAGAAUCUACAGUGUAUAUGCGGCAUUUGCCAAAUGCUGCUUGGCCAAAACAGUGUUAAAUAAAAUUGUAAGAAAUGCG
Molecule: long non-coding RNA, 1680 nt
Filed under: Equus asinus (donkey)
Lineage: Eukaryota; Metazoa; Chordata; Mammalia; Perissodactyla; Equidae
Description: lncRNA (ENSEASG00005033741.1)
Source: RNAcentral